This 548-nucleotide ribosomal RNA is filed under the name uncultured Nitrososphaerota archaeon. RNAcentral's name for it is "uncultured thaumarchaeote partial 16S ribosomal RNA". The record is from RNAcentral. Lineage: Archaea; Thermoproteati; Nitrososphaerota.
UACAACGCACUACCUGUUCAUAGUAGUCGUUGCUGUCAACAGCACACUGCUCACCAUCAACGCAGGGGACUACAUCUUCUACACAGACUGGGCGUGGACGUCCUUCGUUGUGUUCUCGGUGUCCCAGGCUACGGUCCAUGCUGUAGGCGCAAGAUACUACCUUUUAUGUCCCGGUUUGUCAUACCCUGGAACCUUUAUCCCCUCUUACAUGACCCAUUCAACAUAGUGUGCAGAGGUCUGUCGUUUUGCACUUGACUACCCGUCACCACUCGUUAUAGGCGACAAGGCGGAACAAGACCGCUGCCAUACUGAUUUGCUGUACGCUGGUUGGCCUCUCCUUCACGCUUUUCAACCUGGUAAAACUUUUGCUUGUAAGGGACCCGCUCGAGGUGGCCUUCAAGUAUCCGAGACCGACUCUGCCCGCGUACAUGACGCCUAUAGAGCCGCAGGUAGGGAAGUUCUACAACUCGCCUGUCGCCCUGGGUUCAGGUGCCGGUGCAGUGCUAACGGUACCCAUCGCUGCGUUGGGUGCAAAACUAAACACGUGG